UUUAUAGCAUUUUGCACAACUUUUUUUUUUUUGGGUGAUUGGUGAUAAUGUGCAGCUAUAUAGACAAUAUUCUUAAUUGUAUAAGCUAUGAUUUAACCGAUAACCUAUAAUAGUUCUGCUUCAUACUUUCAACCUGUUGCUUUUUCCCUGUGCUUGAUUAAUCUCAUUCGUCCCUUAUUAUGUUGCUUCAUUUUCCCUAAGGGUGUGUUUGGAUUGAGGGUUUAGGAGGGGAAGGGAGGGGAGGGUUCACUUUUCAUUUUUAAAUUACGGACAACAUGAAAUGUCUUUUAAAAAGUUAACCUAUUAACAUGAUAAACGAUAAUAUAAUAUUUCUAUCACACUUGAUUUAUUUUAGAAAAACAUGUUAUAUAGUCCGUAGUUUAAAAAAGAAAACUAAACCUCCCCUCCCUUCCCCUCCUAAACCCUCCCCUCCCUUCCCCUCCUAAACCCUCAAUCCAAACACACCCUAACUUUCUUGCAUCAAGUUGUACAAGUAUCUUUGUAUGCAUUUGUUACAUUUGGCUCUGAU
RNAcentral lists this long non-coding RNA (529 nucleotides) under Medicago truncatula (barrel medic). RNAcentral's name for it is "long non-coding RNA (MTRU_LNC002512)". Lineage: Eukaryota; Viridiplantae; Streptophyta; Magnoliopsida; Fabales; Fabaceae. The record is from RNAcentral.